GAAAUGCGAUAAGUAAUGUGAAUUGCAGAAUUCAGUGAAUCAUCGAAUCUUUGAACGCACCUUGCGCUCCUUGGUAUUCCGAGGAGCAUGCCUGUUUGAGUGUCAUGGAAUUCUCAACUCUAUUUGCUUUUGUGAAUAGAGCUUGGAUUUGGAGGUUUAUUGCUGGUACUUGUGAUCGGCUCCUCUUGAAUGCAUUAGCUCGAACCUUUGCGGAUCAGCUAUCGGUGUGAUAAUUGUCUACGUCGUUGCAGUGAAGCAUAUCAAUGGGCUCGGCUUCCAAUCGUCCUUUACUGGACAAUGACUUUGACCUUUGACCUCAAAUCAGGUAGGAUUACCCGCUGAACUUAAGC
This 350-nucleotide unclassified non-coding RNA is filed under the name plant metagenome. Its description in RNAcentral is "partial contains 5.8S ribosomal RNA, internal transcribed spacer 2, and large subunit ribosomal RNA". The stretch from base 1 to 105 matches the Rfam family "5.8S ribosomal RNA", at positions 50 to 154 of the family's 154-position model. The record is from RNAcentral.